UUUUUUUUAAAUAAAAGAGUAUAGGAUGGAUAAAAUGGAACAGAACAGAACACAAAAGAAGUAGAUGGCAUGCAAUGAGGGCACAUGGUCUUCAAGCAUGUUCAGCAGCUGAACCUUUGGCUUCAAAGGAAAUCUUUAACAACACCCCAACAUAUAAAACAGCCUGGUUUGAAAUAUCAGUACUUGAGACCCGAUGGAGACAUGGUCCUGUCCAUCGCUGAGUGGUGCUGAAGCCUGAGUGGGAGCAGGUGUGACCUGUGUCUUCACUAUAUUGGCUGAGCUUCUACAAUGUAUAAAUCAGAAUGUCCACCUAUCAUAGGACAGUGGCCAGAUUCUACGAGGAAGACCGGAAUGUGUGCAUCCGUUGGGCACAACCGCUCUCUGAAAAACAAAACAAAACAAAACAAAACUACACCAAGUUCUGUCCAUUUUACUAGUCUGAAUAUCGCUGCCAACAUGGAUUUAGAGUAAUGGAGUUAGUCGGGUAAUUUUAAUAACUCUGGACUUGGAACCAUGGUAGACCAAACGACUCCAUUUUUGCCAUUUAUAGUGACUUUCUCAGUUGACCAGAUUUAUGUGUGGGCAGGUUUGGGUACCCAUCUCCCUUGGAUAUUACAGGAGAAUCCAAAGGCAUUCUUUUGGGAAUUUCUUUUCAGUGAAAGUACAAGGUCAGAGCCAGGAGCUGACAGUGAUGAGAAAUGAGGGCAGGGAUUGCUGCCACUUCUCCAGCAUCUGGUACGUAGUAGGCAUAAAGUAACUAGCUUUCGAAUGGAUGAGUGGAUGAGCAGAGGAAUGGGUUUCAUGGAAUAAUGAUACAGGAUGGAGCAGAUGUCCCGUUUUGCUAACCUUGCUGGUUCCAGCUGCUUUUCUCCUCCCUUGGUUUGCCUCUUCACCUGGCUCAGACUGAAAUGGUUCUGGUUCUUUCCCUUUGACCGUUCAUUCUCCCAGCCUCUCAAGGGAAAGAUGUAUAUAUGUAAGCAUAUGUGUGCCCGUGUGUGUAGUAGGACCUAAACAUCGUGGUUAUAACUUCAAGUAUCAACCAGGAAAUAGCUAUCAAAACUUCUGCGCCCUCAACUUCAAAAUUUAAAACUAAAAAGCAAAAAGCACUAAACUAACAACAGCCAUGGAGAAUAAUUUCAUCAUCCCCAUCCUACACGAGGAAAGUGAAUACCAAAGUGAGUCAGUGACUUGCGGGGGCGUCCUUACUAAGAAGUGUGACAGGACCAGGGUUCAAACCCUGGUCAAUUUGACUCCACCCUGGUAAUGCCCAAUGCAUCUAACACUUGGUUUUCCUUUCAACAAAAGAAGAGAUUCAUCUUAGAAGUUUUUUGCAAUCCCAGUAUUCUCUGAUGUAGUGGAUUCUUAUUCUUUCUCCUUAAGAGUCUAGCGUUGGGUCUUGUAGGGCAUGUGCAUUUAUCAAGGUGGCUUAGACAAGGUCCAGUAGGUGGAGCUAGAGAGCAGACACGGGCUGCCCGUGGCGGGGGAGGAGUAGGUGGCUCUGAGGAACAGAGUACCUGGGUAUUGACAGUCCUCACAGGAAUAAUCCCGUUAGUUGACUUCCUUCUUCAGAAUGCAAAUCCCUGUUAUGAUCUGGGCUUGGGAUGGAGGGAGAUGAAUUCCUGAGAAGUAACUCUCCUCAUCCCGAAAGAUCAAGGCUAGAGGGAAUAGCCCACUUAAACGAAGUUAUGGGUAUGUUGUUCUGUGGAAAACAGGGUAAAUCAGUAAAAGAAACAAAAAUCUGUCCACAGUGUCACAGGUAAUCCGCGAAACCUUCCUUAAAGGCUCAGCCCUAGGUUUGAGCCUCAGUUUUCUUUUUUUUUUUUUCUUUUUUUGUGAAUCAAGAUCCAUGUAAGGUCAAAAUACUGAGAUUUAUUGAUGUUUAAAAACCUCCCCAUUUUUAAAAAAUAGGCUUUAUUUUUUAGAACACUUUUAGAUUUACAGAAAAAUUGAGAAGAUACUAUGGAGCGCACCCAUGUACUCCACACCUAACGUGCCCCAUCUCCGUGGUCCCCCCUUACCAGCGACGGGUGGAAUGCAAGACCCCAAGUGGAUGCUUACACUGAAGAAGGGGAGUUGGAAGAAAGGCAGGUAGGGACAAGGGGCCCCUGCCCUAAGAGAAAACCACCCUUAAAAGGAUUUCACAUCACCCUGGAAGGAGCCUUCCACCCUUUCCCUCGUGAUAGAUAGGUGAGAGAAACCUGAUUGGAGGACAGGCGCAGGGAGGGUUAAUCAGAUAAAAACAGCCCGCCAGCAAGCCCGUAAAAACCCCUAGACAUAGAACUCCGGUGACAGCCCUCUCGGGUCCCCACCCUCCUCGGGAGCUUUGUACUAUUGCUCAAUAAACGUUACUAUCACUCAAUAAACUUUGCUCUGCUGUCCACUGCUCUUCAUCUGGUCUAACUCUUCAUUCUUCAACGUGGCAUGACUAAGAACCGCGGGCACCAAAGGAAAAGAAAAUCCUGUAUCAAAACCUCAUAUAAGACCAAAUGCUACACAGACUAUGAUUUUUCCUGUCCAUAUACACACACACCUAUGAUAAAGUUUAUAGAUUAGGCACAGGAAGUGAUUAACAAUAAUAAUAAAAUAGAACAAUUACAACAAUAUGCUAUCAUCAAGUUACGUGAAUGUGGUCUCUCUCCAAAUAUCAGUUGAACAAUACUCACCUUUCUUAGGACGAUUUGAGGUAAUGAAAGGCCCGCAUGACCAGACAGAGUGAGGGCGAUGACGCAGGCAUGUGACAUAGCAGGAGGCUACUGUUGACCUUCUGACAAGGGGUUACGAGGAGGACCAUCUGCUUCCAGACCUGGGUUGACUGCAGUUAACUGAAAUGGCUAAAGGCAAAAGGUCAAAUAGUGUUCUUGCUGCACAAACAUCUCCAAACUAGGGUGGCUCAUCGCUUAUAAUCAUUGAAUUGAUCUCGCUGCCUUAUUGUCAACUAAGUCCACAGUUUAUUCAGAUUCUCUUAGGUUUGACCUAAUGUCCAUUUCUCUAUUCCAGGAUUCUCUCCAGGACACCACAUUAUAUUCAGUCAUCACGUCUCCCUAUGCUCCUCUCGGCUAUUCCUCACACUUCACUUGUUUUUCAUGUCCUGGGUGGUUUUGGGGAUGUUUUGCAGGAUGCCCCACUCUUGGAAUUUGUCUGAUGUUUUGCUCAUGCUUAGACUGGGGUUAUGAGUUCUUGGGAAGAAGAGAGAAGCCCAUUUUCAUCAUAUAUCAAGAGUACAUACAUACAAUCAACACGUUUUAUGACUGUGGGUGUUGAACCUUGAUCACCCGGCUGAGGUUAUCUGCCAAUAGAAUUCUUUCCUCCUUGGGGAGGGGAUUCAUUUUUUUUUUUUUUUUAAUUCAGGCCUUCAACAGAUUAGAUAAGACCCACCCACAUUGUGGAGGAUAAUCUGCUUUACUCAAAGUGUACUAAUUUAAGUUUUAAUCUCAUCGAAAACUACCUUUGAAGAAACAUCUAAAUUACUGUUUGACCAAAUAUUUGGGUAUCAUGGCCUAGCCAAGUUGGUACAUAAAGUUAACCAUUGCUGAUGGGAAGAGGGGAAGCAAUGCUAAGCACACACAGGGUUGGAGGACCUGGCUCAGUGUUACCCUGGUGAAUUUGGAAGAUCUCUGUGGGAGAGACUGGACAACUGAUUUGCAUGACUCUGGAAGCAGUGUGGGGGUGAGCUAGCU
This is a long non-coding RNA of Callorhinus ursinus (northern fur seal), 3677 nucleotides long. RefSeq lists it as uncharacterized. NCBI's taxonomy places the organism in Eukaryota, Metazoa, Chordata, Mammalia, Carnivora, Otariidae. The record is from RefSeq and is a predicted model, not a curated record.